AUUGAACGCUGGCGGCAUGCUUUACACAUGCAAGUCGAACGGUAACAGGCCGCAAGGUGCUGACGAGCGGCGAACGGGUGAGUAAUGCAUCGGAACGUGCCCAGUCGUGGGGGAUAACUACUCGAAAGAGUAGCUAAUACCGCAUACGAUCUAUGGAUGAAAGCGGGGGACCGUAAGGCCUCGCGCGAUUGGAGCGGCCGAUGUCAGAUUAGGUAGUUGGUGGGGUAAAGGCUCACCAAGCCAACGAUCUGUAGCUGGUCUGAGAGGACAACCAGCCACACUGGAACUGAGACACGGCCCAGACUCCUACGGGAGGCAGCAGUGGGGAAUUUUGGACAAUGGGCGCAAGCCUGAUCCAGCAAUGCCGCGUGCAGGAAGAAGGCCUUCGGGUUGUAAACUGCUUUUGUACGGAACGAAACGGCUCUGGUUAAUACCCGGGGCUAAUGACGGUACCGUAAGAAUAAGCACCGGCUAACUACGUG
RNAcentral lists this ribosomal RNA (482 nucleotides) under uncultured bacterium. Its description in RNAcentral is "partial 16S ribosomal RNA". It matches the Rfam family "Bacterial small subunit ribosomal RNA", at positions 30 to 507 of the family's 1533-position model. The record is from RNAcentral.